RNAcentral lists this ribosomal RNA (497 nucleotides) under uncultured bacterium. RNAcentral's name for it is "partial 16S ribosomal RNA". It matches the Rfam family "Bacterial small subunit ribosomal RNA", at positions 28 to 507 of the family's 1533-position model. The record is from RNAcentral.
GAUGAACGCUGGCGGCGUGCCUAAUACAUGCAAGUCGAGCGAACGGACGAGAAGCUUGCUUCUCUGAUGUUAGCGGCGGACGGGUGAGUAACACGUGGAUAACCUACCUAUAAGACUGGGAUAACUUCGGGAAACCGGAGCUAAUACCGGAUAAUAUUUUGAACCGCAUGGUUCAAAAGUGAAAGACGGUCUUGCUGUCACUUAUAGAUGGAUCCGCGCUGCAUUAGCUAGUUGGUAAGAUAACGGCUUACCAAGGCAACGAUGCAUAGCCGACCUGAGAGGGUGAUCGGCCACACUGGAACUGAGACACGGUCCAGACUCCUACGGGAGGAAGCAGUAGGGAAUCUUCCGCAAUGGGCGAAAGCCUGACGGAGCAACGCCGCGUGAGUGAUGAAGGUCUUCGGAUCGUAAAACUCUGUUAUUAGGGAAGAACAUAUGUGUAAGUAACUGUGCACAUCUUGACGGUACCUAAUCAGAAAGCCACGGCUAACUACGUG